This 59-nucleotide small RNA is filed under the name Arabidopsis thaliana (thale cress). Its description in RNAcentral is "ATSL229350". Lineage: Eukaryota; Viridiplantae; Streptophyta; Magnoliopsida; Brassicales; Brassicaceae. The record is from RNAcentral.
UAAAGAGAGAAGAUAGAAACAUAAAAUGUCGGAGAAGAAGGGAAGGAAAGAGGAGGUGG